RNAcentral lists this long non-coding RNA (1576 nucleotides) under Androctonus crassicauda. Lineage: Eukaryota; Metazoa; Arthropoda; Arachnida; Scorpiones; Buthidae. The record is from RNAcentral.
AAAAACUGUUUUUUAAUUUUUGUAGAUAAAAAUUUUGAAAAUGUGGACUGUUAAAUUUAUUCAAAUAGGUACCAGGUUUUAUCCCACCCAUGGGACAAAACCAGGUAUUUGCACCUUUUUUUUUUAUAUUAAGUUUUUCCUCUAUAGAAGAUAUGGAAUUAUGGUCAGAUGUAGUGUGUUAUUCUUCACUUCAAAAAUUUUUAAGAAAGGAAUCUGGAAAGAAGAAGAAAUAAACAAUCGACAUCAUAUCAUCCUGCCUGCAGACUUUUGUCCUCUACAACAUAAACCAAUGAAGUAAGAAUAAUAAAUAAAGGAUAAGAUGACAGAGAAGAGAGAUUUUGUUGCAUGCAGGUAUUGUGGGAAGUUAAUGAAAAAAACAUGAAUGAAAAAUGAUAGUGGGAAGACAUUCUGUCUUUUCCUGGGAAAAAAGAUGAAAGAAGAGAUCAGUUUUUCCUGGGACUUGGAGAUAGUUAGCACUCAGAAUUGAGAGAGAAAAUUGGAUUGAGUGAGUUAGGUUUUUGACUGGAAUCAGCAGAAUAAACAGAUGUGGGAGUGAAACAAUGAACAAAAAGAAAAGUAUAAUAAAAUUUUAAUGGAAAAAUCAAGGAAAGGCAACAUUCCACUCCAGUGUCAAAAAAGAAGAAAGGAAAAAAAAUAUUUUUUGAAUAGUGAUUAAAAAUGAAGUAAAGAAAUCCAGUGAAGAAAACCCAUGUGCACACUGAACAGGAAAAGAGAGUAGCUAUAUGAAAACCCAAUAAAAAAUAAAGAAAACAGUGUGAGGUUCAGGAGACUCACCCAUAAUAGCCGAUUGAUUGUUGGAGAGUAUCAGUCAUUGGUUUUUAUAACAUUCGAGAUAUGAACAAAUUUUCUAAAUUUGUUUCAAAAAUAUAAUUGAUUUUUGCCACACUUGGCAAUAAUUAUAAAAGAGAAAUAAAAUUAUAAGAACUUCGAUAAAACGGAAAAUGUCUGCGGAUGAGGAACCUCUUUCUUCUGUUCCUCAUCCUGCAUGAAUCACAUUGAUGAUUCACUAUUAUUCAUCAAAGAGAGAUAUAAAAGUCUUUCAGAUUCUGAUGGAGUUGUUCUUGAUUGUAUUUCCGGUCAAGAAAUGCGAUGCUGUUGGCCAAUGUGCCAGAUUCCUGCCGUGUCAUCCCUGCUCAGGGAAUCUGAUGUCGAUGUAUCAAUCAAGAUGUCAAGAAGUAGUUAUAAAGUCUAAGAAACAAGAAAAAAUCUAGUUGAUACAGGAAGAAGCAUAAUUGAUAAAUGUGAAAAUUAGAUGGAACAGGAACAAUUACUCAAUGGAUGUUGGGUGAAGUAAAAUCAAAGAAAGUUGUCUCAAAAAUGAAAGGAACUGAACUGUAUUGCAAAUCUAAUUUUGACUCAAUGAUAAUGAAGAAUUUCUAACUUCACAAAUUCACCUAAAGAAGAUAAAACUUUCUGUCACUUACAUCAAUGAAUUUAUUUCCCAGGCAUAGUUGACCAAUUGACGUAUUCAGAUCACUUUCUGCCUCUCUUCUCUUUUUAUCCAUAAAAGCAUAGUAUUACACUGCCGAUAAAUAACACAAUAAACAGGUUCAGC